CAGCAGCCGCGGUAAUACGAAGGGGGCUAGCGUUAAUCGGAAUUACUGGGCGUAAAGCGUGCGUAGGCGGUUUGUUAAGUCUGUUGUGAAAUCCCCGGGCUCAACCUGGGAAUGGCAAUGGAUACUGGCAAGCUAGAGUGUGUCAGAGGAUGGUGGAAUUCCCGGUGUAGCGGUGAAAUGCGUAGAGAUCGGGAGGAACAUCAGUGGCGAAGGCGGCCAUCUGGGACAACACUGACGCUGAGGCACGAAAGCGUGGGGAGCAAACAGGAUUAGAUACCCCAGUAGUCCCUGUCUCUUAUAC
This 301-nucleotide ribosomal RNA is filed under the name uncultured bacterium. RNAcentral describes it as "partial 16S ribosomal RNA". It matches the Rfam family "Bacterial small subunit ribosomal RNA", at positions 509 to 807 of the family's 1533-position model. The record is from RNAcentral.